RNAcentral lists this long non-coding RNA (332 nucleotides) under Phoenix dactylifera (date palm). Its description in RNAcentral is "long non-coding RNA (PDAC_LNC018709)". The record is from RNAcentral. Lineage: Eukaryota; Viridiplantae; Streptophyta; Magnoliopsida; Arecales; Arecaceae.
AUAUAUGGAACUUAAUCACCAAGCACAAAAUUUGACAAUUGAUGCCAACUUAAAUUAACAGAUUUAACCGGCGGGGAGGGGAAACAGAGUUUUACCAGAGCUGAUUGAGGCCUGUACUUGCCGAAGAUGUUCCAGUUGAGAUGGUGCUGGGAAGAAGGUCACGGCGGUGCAAGGUCCGGUGGUGGUGGUCGGAGCAACUGUUGGCAGGGAGGAGCUGAUGCAGGACAAUUAGAGCUGUCUGCGGUGAUGACUGUCAGAGCCGACAGUGGUGGUGCAGCAGUCGACGGCGGCGACGGCAACGCGGCGGCGCGGCGGUGGGAACAACCCGGCGG